CUUCGGGAAGGAACAGCCAGCCAGGCUGGAGCCUCCGGAGGGGCGGGGAUUGGCCGCUGCCCUCCGCCCCUGAUUGGUGGUGCCUGUGUUUCAAAUGAACCCAACGUCUCGGACGUCGGGACGUCAGGAUUCUGUAGAGAAGUGCCCGGAUGUGGCCAGCAGGUGGCGGUGGUGGGUCCCGGGCGCCACUGGGAGUAGCAGAGCCACCAAAUCCUCUAAAGGAAAUCAGUGCCUCCAUAGAUGAUCCCCCCCCGCCCACACCCCCACUGAUGGCUGUGAUCUGGAAGAGUUUUCUGCCCGAAGGCUUUCUGCUUUGGCUGUUGGGUGGAAGGUGUGCGCGCAGCAGGGACCGGGACAGGAUACCUCGGGCCUCUGCAGGUGCACUUGUUAAAUCAGCAACCCGCCUUAUUUAAACCCUGAUGUACAGCACUGGACUCUGGUCUAGGGAAUUUCGUGGGUGAUUGGAGUAAGUUCCCUAAUAUGUCCUGGGCUUUUAUUUUCUUCAUGUAAGCUUCCAUUUGAACAAAUGUAAGAAUAUGUCUGGAGAUUCUAGAAUCUCCUGGAGCCAGAGUAAAUUGCUUCCUGAUGCCUUCUCCCCACCCCCCACCGUGAGAUCUUUUGUUACUUUCCGCUAAAGCCUAGACAAAAAUGUAUCGUUUUACCUGUAAUAACUAUUGUUAUUA
This is a long non-coding RNA of Eptesicus fuscus (big brown bat), 683 nucleotides long. RefSeq lists it as uncharacterized. The transcript has 3 exons. The record is from RefSeq and is a predicted model, not a curated record. Lineage: Eukaryota; Metazoa; Chordata; Mammalia; Chiroptera; Vespertilionidae.